Molecule: ribosomal RNA, 253 nt
Filed under: uncultured bacterium
Lineage: Bacteria
Description: partial 16S ribosomal RNA
Rfam family: Bacterial small subunit ribosomal RNA
Source: RNAcentral
UACGUAGGGUGCAAGCGUUGUCCGGAAUUAUUGGGCGUAAAGAGCUCGUAGGCGGUCUGUCGCGUCUGCUGUGAAAACUCAGGGCUUAACCCUGAGCUUGCAGUGGGUACGGGCAGACUAGAGUGCGGUAGGGGAGACUGGAAUUCCUGGUGUAGCGGUGAAAUGCGCAGAUAUCAGGAGGAACACCGGUGGCGAAGGCGGGUCUCUGGGCCGUUACUGACGCUGAGGAGCGAAAGCGUGGGGAGCGAACAGG